RNAcentral lists this ribosomal RNA (274 nucleotides) under uncultured bacterium. RNAcentral's name for it is "partial 16S ribosomal RNA". It matches the Rfam family "Bacterial small subunit ribosomal RNA", at positions 523 to 796 of the family's 1533-position model. The record is from RNAcentral.
AUACGGAGGGUGCGAGCGUUAAUCGGAAUUACUGGGCGUAAAGCGCGCGUAGGCGGAUAAUUAAGUCAGAUGUGAAAUCCCCGGGCUCAACCUGGGAACUGCAUUUGAUACUGAUUAACUAGAGUAUGGUAGAGGUGAGUGGAAUUUCCGGUGUAGCGGUGAAAUGCGUAGAGAUCGGAAGGAACACCAGUGGCGAAGGCGACUCACUGGGCCAUUACUGACGCUGAGGUGCGAAAGCGUGGGUAGCAAACAGGAUUAGAUACCCCAGUAGUCC